This is a non-coding RNA of Pelobates cultripes (western spadefoot toad), 158 nucleotides long. The record is from the annotation of a GenBank genome assembly. Lineage: Eukaryota; Metazoa; Chordata; Amphibia; Anura; Pelobatidae.
CGCCCCCUAUACGUCAUCAUUGAGUAAACUUUGACCCGGAACCUCACAGUCAGCAGACACUUCCUGGGAGGGAGGGUCUGCUGCUGAUUGGGUGGAAUGUGUCUGCUUGCUGUGAGGUUCCGGGUCAAAGUUUACUCAAUGAUGACGUAUAGGGGGCG